UCAGGGGAAGAAGUUCAGUUUCACCGCGCUCUCUGUUGUUGUUAUGUCGGUGUGCUGCCUUAAUACAAACGGUUAGACAAGUUUCUAAGAGAAAAAAAUACAGAUUUUGAAUCAGUUAGUAAAUACCUGUUAUAUUCUGAAGCGAUCAAGAAUAUCUGGAGGAGUUUAUCAUCUGAACUGAGAUCUGCUGCUGUGAAGAUGGAGUUUGUGAAAGAGGAGAGAGAAGAGAACACGAGUGAACGAGAAAUCAGCACAAUAAAACACGAGGAAACAGAAAUGAAACACGAGGAAACAGAAAUGAAACACGAGGAAACAGAAAUAAAACACGAGGAACCAGAAACCAGCACAAUAAAACACGAGGAACCAGAAACCUGGGGGAUAAAACACGAGGAAAUAGAAACCAGCACAAUAAAAGACGAGGAAACAGAAAUAAAACACGAGGAACCAGAAACCUGGAGAAUAAAACACGAGGAAACAGAAACCAGCACAAUAAAACACGAGGAAACCGAAAUAAAACACGAGGAAACAGAAAUAAAACAUGAGGAACAAGGAGAGUUCAUCAAAGAAAAAGAGGACAAUGAAGAAUCAAGUGAAGUUGAGGAGAAAAAUAAUGUCAAAACUGGUGGGAAAACUUUGACUUGCUCUCAAACCAAACAGAAAGAUUUAAAGAAAAAAAGAGUUAAGGUAUCUUUCACCUGCACUCAGUGUGGAAAGAGUUUCACAUGUAAAUCAAAUCUUAAGCAUCACAUGAAAGUUCAUACUGGAGAGAAACCAUUCACUUGCAAUCAGUGCGGGAAGAUUUUCAAACAAUCAUCAAACCUUAAGGAUCACAUGAACAUCCACACUGGAGAGAAACCUUACAAGUGUUCACACUGUGACAAGAGAUUCAGUCAGUCAGUCAAUCUGAAAACACAUGAGAGGAUCCACACUGGAGAGAAACCUUACAAGUGUUCACACUGUGACAAGAGAUUCAGUCAGUCAGUCAAUCUGAAAACACAUGAGAGGAUCCACACUGGAGAGAAACCUUACAAGUGUUCACACUGUGACAAGAGAUUCAGUCAUUCAGCAGAUCUGAAAAAACACGAGAGGAUCCACACUGGAGAGAAACCUUACAAGUGUUCACACUGUGACAAGAGAUUCAGUCAUACAGUCAGUCUGAAAACACAUGAGAGGAUCCACACUGGAGAGAAACCUUACAAGUGUUCACACUGUGACAAGAGAUUCAGUCAGUCAGCAGCUCUGAAAAAACAUGAGAGGAUCCACACUGGAGAGAAACCUUACAAGUGUUCACACUGUGACAAGAGAUUCGGUGUGUCAUCAAGUCUGAAAACACAUGAGAGGAUCCACACUGGAGAGAAACUUUACAAGUGUUCACACUGUGACAAGAGAUUCGGUGUGUCAUCAAGUCUGAAAACACACGAGAAGAUCCACACUGGAGAGAAACCUUACAAGUGUUCAAACUGUGACAAGAGAUUUGGUGCGUCAACAGAGCUGAAAACACACCAGAGGAUCCACACUGGAGAGAAACCUUACAAGUGUUCACACUGUGACAAGAGAUUCGGUGUGUCAUCAAGUCUGAAAAAACAUGAGAGGAUCCACACUGGAGAGAAAACUUACAAGUGUUCACACUGUGACAAGAGAUUCUAUAAUUUAUCAAGUCUGAAAAAACAUGAGAGGAUUCACACUGGAGAGAAACCUUACAAGUGUUCACACUGUGACAAGAGAUUCAGUCAGUCAGUAAGUCUGAAAACACAUGAGACGAUUCACACUGGAGAGAAACCUUAUAAGUGUUCACACUGUGGCAAGAGAUUCAGUCAAAGAGGAUAUCUUAAAAAACAUGAGAGGAUUCAUACUGGAGAGAAACCUUAUAAGUGUUCACACUGUGACAAGAGAUUCGGUGCGUCAUCAAGUCUGAAAACACAUGAGAGGAUCCACACUGGAGAGAAACCUUACAAAUGUUCACACUGUGACAAGAGAUUCAGUGAUUUAUCAAGUCUGAAAACACAUGAGAGAUUUCACACUGGAGAGAAACAUAAGUGUUCACACUGUGACAAGAGAUUCAGUGUGUUAUCAAGUCUGAAAAGACAUGAGAGGAUCCACACUGGAGAGAAACCUUACAAGUGUUCACACUGUGACAAGAGAUUCAGUAAUUUAUCACAUCUGAAAACACAUGAGAGAUUUCACACUGGAGAGAAACAUUAUAAGUGUUCACACUGUGACAAGAGAUUCAGUGUGUUAUCAAGUCUGAAAAGACAUGAGAGGAUCCACACUGGAGAGAAACCUUACAAGUGUUCACACUGUGACAAGAGAUUCUAUGAUUUAUCAAGUCUGAAAACACAUGAGAGGAUCCACACUGGAGAGAAAGCACAUCACCGCAAUGUACGUGGAAAGCGUUCCAUUAAGUCAUCUGUUAUACACAGUCAUACAAAAAACAAUCACAGUAAGUCCCCGUAAUCGCGGAGACGCAUUUAGCUGUAUAUGUAAAUAUAUUUCAUAUGGUAUAUGAAUUUGGUCCAGACGGAUCCGGCAUAUGGGGGAGUGAAAACCCUAUUUUUUUUAUUAUUAUUUUUUAAAACCAGGUCCCAGAGUGGAUAAAUCUGAAAAUGACACCUUUGUGUUUUUUUGUACUGCCAAUCCAUAUGUUUUCUAAAACAAUGAUGUCAUCAACCCACUUCUCUACUAUAGUCAGACACCGCUAGGUCAUUUAACACUAACAACAAUGGAGGACUACAUGUUUGUACUCAUGCUGCAGAAGCUACUGAGCCUGUAAGCUUGAUUACUAGUAGAGCAGCACGAUAUUGGAAAACAACUCACAUCGCGAUAAUGUUUCUGAUUUUUCUGAUUAUUAGGAACACCAUAGUAAUACUGUGUUUGACCCCCUUUCGCCUUCAGAACUGCCUUAAUUCUACAUGGACCUGAUUCAACAAGGUGCUGAAAAUAUUCUUUAGAAAUGUUGGCCCAUAUUGAUGGGAUAGUUGAUGGAGAUUUGAGGGAUGCACAUCCAGGGCACGAAGCACCCGUUCCACCACAUCCCAAAGAUGCUCCAUUGGGUUGAGAUCUGGUGACUGUGGGGGCCAUUUUAGUACAGUGAAAUCAUUGUCAUGUUCAAGAAACCCAUUUGAAAUGAUUCGAACUUUGUGACAUGGAGCAUUAUCCUGCUGGAAGUAGCCAUCAGAGGAUGGGUACAUGGUGGACAUAAAGGGAUGGUCAGAAAAAUUGCUCAGGUAGGCCGUGGCAUUUAAACGAUGCCCAAUUGGCACUAAGGGGCCUAAAGUGUGCCAAGAAAACAUCCCCCACACCAUUACACCACCACCCCCACCAGCCUGCACAGUGGAAACAAGGCAUGAUGGAUCCAUGUUCUCAUUCUGUUUACGCCAAAUUCUGACUCUACCAUCUGAAUGUCUCAACAGAAAUCGACACUCAUCAGACCAGGCAACAUUUUUCAAGUCUUCAACUGUCCAAUUUUGGUGAGCUCAUGCAAAUUGUAGCCUCUUUUUCCUAUUUGUAGUGGAGAUGAGUGGUACCCGGUGGGGUCUUCUGCUGUUGUGGCUUCACAAAUGUUUUGCUGCAUACCUCGUUAUUAACGAGUGGUUAUUUCAGUCAAAGUUGCUCUUCUAUCAGCUUGAAUCAGUUGUCCCCAUUCUCCUCUGACCUCUAGCAUCAACAAGGCAUUUUCGCCCACAGGACUGCGCAUACUGGAUGUUUUUCCCUUUUCACACCAUUCUUUGUAAACCCUAGAAAUGGUUGUGCGUUAAAAUCCCAGUAACUGAGCAGAUUGUGAAAUACUCAGACUGGCCCGUCUGGCAACAGCAACCAUGCCACGUUCAAAAUUGCUUAAAUCAUCCUUCUUUCCCAUUCUGACAUUCAGUUUGGAGUUCAGGAUAUUCUCUUGACCAGGACCACACCCUUAAAUGCAUUGAAGCAACUCCCAUGUGAUUGUGGAUUACAGGCUUGCUCCCGCGAGACCCGAUGCAACAAAGAGCGGCGCUGGACAAGACUUCUGUGUGUGUGUGUGUGUGUGUGUAUGUGUGUGUGUGUGCAGGAUACAGGAAAACAAAAUGAUUCAUGGGACUCCGCAAAGUUGAAAUAUCUAAACAUAAAAUAUCUAAAACAAUUAAAUUGUUAUUCAUUUGUUGCUCAAAAGCAAAAUGAACUAAUAUGAAAUAUACAUGAUAAACAGGUGUAAGCGUAUGCAGAGCUUCUAUUUAGGCUAUAACAGGGAUUGAUGCGUGAUACUGAUCCAAAAGCACACCUUUUGUUAAAAAAGGUUAAAUUUCUUCCUUUUAAUAUUCCUUUAAUAAAGCGAGUUUGUCGUUAUUGUUGCUGUUUUCAUUUCAAAUAAAUAAAACAUUGAACCACAAACUAAGAAUUUGUUUUAAAAGAAGGAAAAUACCUUAUUUAUUUUGGUUACAAUAUCAAUUUUUUUAAUUUUUGUCAAGAAAAGUAAAAAAGCCUUUAAAUGCCAAUGAGAAUUUGUAUCAUUGUAUUAUUUUAUUGCUUAUGUGUUUUAAUUAAUGGGCUAACAAUGAACCACAAACUACUAUAGUUUUAAAGAAAGAGGAAAUCCAAAGUGUUUUAAAAAACAUUUUUGUGUUACAAUGUGCAUAAAACAUAUUUUCCUUAUUCAUUUUGUUAAUAAAAGUUCAAAGUGGAAUAUAAGAAAAUUUGUCAUCCCACUGUUUUAGCCUGUUUCUAUUAAUAAUAAUAGGCUAAUAAUGAGCCACAAACUAAGCAUUCAUUUAAAGAGGAAAAUGUAGAUUCAUUAUGCAUAUUUUUAUUGUGUGUUAACAGAUUUGUGAGAUUCGCAUGAACUGAGAUGUAUUUUAGAGAUUAUAAAUGCCGUGCUCUGCUGGCAUUCCACCAAACCAUAUAAAUCAUGCACACAGCAGCCACUUGCUUUAGUCAAGAAUAACUGUUCUGUGAAUGUUGAUGCUGUAAUAAAAAACAUUUUAUUAGGAGUGUGUGCUGGGAUAAAUUUAAUGGAGAAAAAAGUAAUGUACAGUAGGUAGACAACCAAAAUG
Molecule: RNA transcript, 5021 nt
Organism: Carassius gibelio (silver crucian carp)
Lineage: Eukaryota; Metazoa; Chordata; Actinopteri; Cypriniformes; Cyprinidae
Gene name: zinc finger protein 271-like
Exons: 3
Source: RefSeq, a predicted model, not a curated record